Molecule: ribosomal RNA, 1925 nt
Filed under: human gut metagenome
Description: bacterial LSU rRNA
Rfam family: Bacterial large subunit ribosomal RNA
Source: RNAcentral
UGAAAAGCACCCCGAGAGGGGAGUGAAACAGCGCCUGAAACCGUGCGCCCCCAAGCAGCGGGAGCCGUUCCGACGACGGUGACCGCGUGCCUUUUGUAGAAUGAGCCUGCGAGUCGCGGCAUGCGGCGAGGUUAAGGGACACCGAGCCGCAGCGAAAGCGAGCCUGAACAGGGCGAUUUGAGUCGCAUGCCGCGGACGCGAAGCCGGGUGAGCUAUCCAUGGGCAGGGUGAAGCGGGGGUAAGACCCCGUGGAGGCCCGAACCCACUUCGGUUGAAAACGGAGGGGAUGACCCGUGGAUAGGGGUGAAAGGCCUAUCAAACCCGGAGAUAUCUCGUUCUCCCCGAAACAGCUUUAGGGCUGGCCCCGGGCAUUGACCAUCGGAGGUAGAGCACUGGACCGGCGAGGGGGCCUCACCGCCUACCGACCCAGACCAAACUCCGAAUGCCGAUGGUUUUAACCCCGGGAGUCAGAGCGCGUGGGCUAAGCUGCGCGCUCGAGAGGGAAACAGCCCAGACCGCCCGCCAAGGCCCCAAAGGCCGUGCUAAGUGGCAAAGGAUGUGCGCCCGCCCAGACAACCAGGAUGUUGGCUUAGAAGCAGCCAUGCAUUCAAAGAGUGCGUAACAGCUCACUGGUCGAGUGGGGGCGCGCCGACAAUGCGCGGGGCUCAAGCACGGCGCCGAAGCGGCGGAAUCAUUUAUUUGAUUGGUAGGGGAGCUUUCCAUGCCGGGCGAAGCCGGAGGCGCGAGCCCCGGUGGACGGCAUGGAAGUGAGGAUGCAGGCAUGAGUAGCGAGAGAGCGGCGAGAAACCGCUCCGCCGAAAACCCAAGGUUUCCUGGGCGAGGCUAAUCCCCCCAGGGUCAGCCGGGAGCUAAGGCGAGGCCGCAAGGCGCAGCCGAUGCACGACGGGCAGACAUUCCCGUGCCGGCGCGGGCGCGCUACGACCGAUGGGACGACGGGGAAGGAUACGCGAGCGGGGUUCUGGACGUCCCCGUGAAAGCGCGUAGGGAGGGGCCCAGGGAAAUCCGGUCCCCACGAAUCCCGAGACGCGAGACGAGCCGCACGGCGAAGUCGCGGAUUCCAUGCCUCCUAGAAAAAUCCCUAGGCAGCGCCCACGCCGCCCGUACCAAAACCGACACAGGUGGGUAGGAAGAGCAUUCCGAGGCGAUCGGGGCAACCAUGGUCAAGGAACUCGGCAUAAUCGUCCCGUAACUUAGGGAGAAGGGACGCCCCCCAGCGUGUACCGGCUCGCCCGGGAAGCGCCGGGGGGCCGCAGCGAAAGGGCCCAAGCGACUGUUUACCAAAAACACAGGACUCUGCCAAGCCGCGAGGCGAAGUAUAGGGUCUGACGCCUGCCCGGUGCCGGAAGGUCACGGGGAUCCGUUAGCCUUUGGCGAAGCGGUGAACCCAAGCCCCGGUAAACGGCGGCCGUAACUAUAACGGUCCUAAGGUAGCGAAAUUCCUUGUCGGGUAAGUUCCGACCUGCACGAACGGCGCAACGACUUGGGCGCUGUCUCGACCAUGGGCCCGGCGAAAUUGCAUUAUCCGUGAAGAUGCGGAUUCCCCGCGGAAGGACGGAAAGACCCCGUGAACCUUUACUGCAGCUUGGCAUUGGCCGCAGGCGCGGCGCGUAGAGGAUAGGCAGGAGGCUGCGAAGCCCGGGCGCCAGCCCGGGCGGAGCCGACCUUGGAAUACUGCCCCCGUCGCGUCGGCGGCCUAACCCGGGGACGGCCCGGGGACCGUGCCAGGCGGGCAGUUUGACUGGGGCGGUCGCCUCCCAAAGAGUAACGGAGGCGCGCGCAAGGUCCGCUCAGGACGGUCGGCAACCGUCCGCGGAGCGCAAGAGCACAAGCGGGCCUGACUGCGAGGCAGACAAGCCGAGCAGGGACGAAAGUCGGCUCUAGUGAUCCGGCGGCCCCGAGUGGAA